CCUAUUAUUUAUGCAUUGAUUAAGGUAUAUAGGGGUAGAUCAAUUCAAUGGCCUAAACUACUUCCAUUUUUUUUUUAGGCUGAUAGAACUAGUCACAAUACUGUCAUUGAUUAUAUAUCCAUGAAAUAAAUGUUAGGACAAAAAUCUAUGAUUCUAGUUGAAAAAACCUAUCUUAUAUGGAUGUUUUUAUCUUAAAAAGAUGACAUUAAUAAAAAAAGAUUAUUAGAAUUUUGAAUCCAAUAGUUAAGUAGGUUACUUGAAGAUGUGCAAAUUGCAGCUGAGAGAUUAAAAGAAGCAAGAUUGAAAAAUAAAGAAAGGUUUUAUAAGACUCAUAGGUUGAGGCCUAAGUCUAUAAAGAUUAGA
RNAcentral lists this long non-coding RNA (363 nucleotides) under Physcomitrium patens. Its description in RNAcentral is "long non-coding RNA (PPAT_LNC012365)". Lineage: Eukaryota; Viridiplantae; Streptophyta; Bryopsida; Funariales; Funariaceae. The record is from RNAcentral.